RNAcentral lists this transfer-messenger RNA (399 nucleotides) under Legionellaceae. Its description in RNAcentral is "Tatlockia lansingensis Standard tmRNA". It matches the Rfam family "transfer-messenger RNA". Rfam says of the family: Bacterial tmRNA, also known as 10Sa RNA or SsrA, is named for its dual tRNA and mRNA-like properties. Its role is to liberate the mRNA from a stalled ribosome. The record is from RNAcentral. RNAcentral also lists the same sequence under 1 other name. Lineage: Bacteria; Pseudomonadati; Pseudomonadota; Gammaproteobacteria; Legionellales.
GGGGGCGACCUGGCUUCGACGUGGGUUGCGAAACCUGAUGUGCAUGCCGAGAAAGAGUACUCUCGUAAAUCAGUCUCACUAAAUAUAAAUGCAAACGAUGAAAACUUUGCUGGUGGUGAAGCUGUCGCUGCGUAAGCUUUGAUAGUCAACUACCGAUAGUGCGCUGCCAUAAAACCAGCGCCCCGUUGACCGAGCUCGCUUAUCGGUAUCGAAUCAACGGUCAUAAGAGAUAAGCUCGCAUCUUGGUUCGUCCCGCACCAAGAUGUUAAAUCAAGGGAAUCGCCGUGUCCCAUCCUGCCUGUCGGAGAGGCCACGGUUAACUAAAAAGACAAGGCUAAGCAUGUAGAUCUGACGGCAGAGGAUUUGCGGACGCGGGUUCGAUUCCCGCCGCCUCCACCA